Molecule: long non-coding RNA, 1283 nt
Filed under: Calidris pygmaea (Spoon-billed sandpiper)
Lineage: Eukaryota; Metazoa; Chordata; Aves; Charadriiformes; Scolopacidae
Description: lncRNA (ENSCPGG00000005435.1)
Source: RNAcentral
GUGGAGUCUUUUAAACCCCAGAAGCAAGUACACAGAAAACACAGAAAUCACGAAGCACGAGCUACAGUCCACGAACAAUAUGAAUAUUAAUACAAAGAGUAAAUAUAGGUUAAAAAAGAUUCUUUUGGAGUUUUUUUGAAGUUGUUUUUAUGUUUUUUAAACCAGAACAGACGACGAAAAUGAAGAGGAUGUGCCUCCAGAGGAGGAAAGGGAUUUGGGUGCUGAAUCCCAGAAUCAGAAGGCCAUGGAAGAGCCUGACAUCUUCAGAAGUCUGGACUGAGAAGAACAAUGCAAAGACUAGAACAAGUGAGAUGUUUUACAGCUCCAGAAAGCUAAGCAAACCACCUCAGACUGAGAACAUAAGGAUCGACACUGUCUUAACAAGGAUGACGUUGGGGCUUUUAUAGAUUGCUCUCCGAGGAGCAGUAGUCUUAAUGCCAUGAAGAUUUGCCAGAAUAAUAACCAGCGACCUUAGCAAGUAAAACCCAAGUCUCGGAAUCUGAAUGUAUUCAUCAGUAUGCUCCCUGGCGCUAAUGGUAACAAGUGAGUUAUAUACCUAUGUAUAUAGAGCUCCAUUUGAGAACUGUCGUGGGACAAGUUAAGUUCACAUCAGCUACUGCUUAAAGCGAAAGUGGCCAAUAUAUUACCAAGAUGUAACAAAGACAAGCGCUGCAUGUGAUGUAUGCGCACACCUCUAAAGCAUCCUUGCUGUAGAUGCUCCUCUCUUCCAGGCGUUUGACCUCCAGGGUGACAACAAUCCACAGCACCUUAAAUCCCACUUAGGUUUUCUAAGUGCGGGUGGCAGCUCAAACCUCCACAGAAACUGCUGAGAUGAAGAUGGAGCACUGGAUACUAUGGCCAGCUGGCUCCAGAGGCAGUUUCUACACAAAGGAGGAGGUCAAGUGCAAUUUUUUUCUGCCCUUCAAAGCGAAGUAGAUUUGUCUCUGAGGGUUCCAGCCUCUAUGGCUAUCACCCUAAAAUUGACAGCGUUUUACCCAUGCCGGUGUAAAGCAUGAAAUCUUGUAGGUAUCAGCUAACCCGCUUCCUGAGUGGAAGCUACACAGAGAUGUGCAAGGAGACAGCAUGAAAUUCAACGGUGAGCUGACCAAAGAGACAAUCACCGAUUCCUUCUUAUGCCCGAGGGUUCUGAUCCUCCAGUCAUGCCAAGUUUUUCUGUGGUAACUAAAAGAUCAUCACCCCACUGUCUGCAAUGCAGUACCAUUUGAAAUAAGUUAUCAUUUUGCAUGGAUAUGACAGAAUAAGUAGCACGUUUUCUUCUUAGC